AGUGAACGCUGGCGGCAGGCCUAAUACAUGCAAGUCGAACGGCAGCACAGCAGAGCUUGCUCUGUGGGUGGCGAGUGGCGGACGGGUGAGGAAUACAUGGGAAUCUGCCCAGUCGUGGGGGAUAACGUAUGGAAACGUACGCUAAUACCGCAUGCGCCCUUUGGGGGAAAGCCGGGGACCUUCGGGCCUGGCGCGAUUGGAUGAGCCCAUGUUCGAUUAGCUAGUUGGCGGGGUAAAGGCCCACCAAGGCGACGAUCGAUAGCUGGUCUGAGAGGAUGAUCAGCCACACUGGAACUGAGACACGGCCCAGACUCCUACGGGAGGCAGCAGUAGGGAAUAUUGGACAAUGGGCGCAAGCCUGAUCCAGCCAUGCCGCGUGAGUGAAGAAGGCCCUCGGAUUGUAAAGCUCUUUUGUCCGGAAAGAAAAGCAUUCGGUUAAUACCCGGGUGUUCUGACGGUACCGGAAGAAUAAGCACCGGCUAACUUCGUG
This 490-nucleotide ribosomal RNA is filed under the name uncultured bacterium. RNAcentral describes it as "partial 16S ribosomal RNA". It matches the Rfam family "Bacterial small subunit ribosomal RNA", at positions 29 to 507 of the family's 1533-position model. The record is from RNAcentral.